UGGGGAAUAUUGGACAAUGGAGGUAACUCUGAUCCAGCAAUUCUGUGUGCACGACGAAGGUCUUCGGAUUGUAAAGUGCUUUAAGUUGGGAAGAAGAAAAUGACGGUACCAACAGAAUAAGCGACGGCUAAAUACGUGCCAGCAGCCGCGGUAAUACGUAUGUCGCAAGCGUUAUCCGGAAUUAUUGGGCAUAAAGGGCAUCUAGGCGGGGUUUCAAGUCGACGGUGAAAACUAGUGGCUCAACCAUUAGCUUGCCGACGAAACUGAAAUUCUAGAGUAUUGGAAAGGUGGGCGGAACUACAUGAGUAGAGGUGAAAUUCGUAGAUAUAUGUAGGAAUGCCGAUGACGAAGGUAGCUCACUGGACAAAAACUGACGCUGAAGUGCGAAAGCUAGGGGAGC
Molecule: ribosomal RNA, 400 nt
Filed under: uncultured bacterium
Lineage: Bacteria
Description: bacterial SSU rRNA
Rfam family: Bacterial small subunit ribosomal RNA
Source: RNAcentral